AUACGGAGGGUGCAAGCGUUACUCGGAAUCACUGGGCGUAAAGCGCGCGCAGGCGGCUAUUUAAGUUGGAUGUGAAAGCCUACGGCUCAACCGUAGAACUGCAUCCAAAACUAUUUAGCUAGAGUGUGGGAGAGGAAGAUGGAAUUAGUUGUGUAGGGGUAAAAUCCGUAGAGAUAACUAGGAAUACCAAAAGCGAAGGCAAUCUUCUGGAACACUUCUGACGCUGAGGCGCGAAAGCGUGGGGAGCAAACAGGAUUAGAAACCCCGGUAGUCC
This 274-nucleotide ribosomal RNA is filed under the name uncultured bacterium. RNAcentral's name for it is "partial 16S ribosomal RNA". It matches the Rfam family "Bacterial small subunit ribosomal RNA", at positions 523 to 796 of the family's 1533-position model. The record is from RNAcentral.